This 253-nucleotide ribosomal RNA is filed under the name uncultured bacterium. RNAcentral describes it as "partial 16S ribosomal RNA". It matches the Rfam family "Bacterial small subunit ribosomal RNA", at positions 524 to 776 of the family's 1533-position model. The record is from RNAcentral.
UACGGGGGGGGCAAGCGUUGUUCGGGAUUACUGGGCGUAAAGGGCUCGUAGGCGGCCUUCUUAGUCGGACGUGAAAUCCCCAGGCUCAACUUGGGAACUGCGUCCGAUACUGGAUGGCUUGAGUGCGGGAGAGGGAUGUGGAAUUCCAGGUGUAGCGGUGAAAUGCGUAGAUAUCUGGAGGAACACCGGUGGCGAAGGCGGCAUCCUGGACCGGCAUUGACGCUGAGGCGCGAAAGCUAGGGGAGCAAACGGG